CAGUCGCCACGGUAAUACGUAGGGUGCGAGCGUUAAUCGGAAUUACUGGGCGUAAAGCGGGCGCAGACGGUUACUUAAGCAGGAUGUGAAAUCCCCAGGCUCAACCUGGGAACUGCGUUCUGAACUGGGUGACUAGAGUGUGUCAGAGGGAGGUAGAGUUCCACGUGUAGCAGUGAAAUGCGUAGAGAUGUGGAGGAAUACCGAUGGCGAAGGCAGCCUCCUGGGAUAACACUGACGUUCAUGCCCGAAAGCGUGGGUAGCAAACAGGAUUAGAGACCCCUGUAGUCCCUGUCUCUUAUAC
This 301-nucleotide ribosomal RNA is filed under the name uncultured bacterium. RNAcentral's name for it is "partial 16S ribosomal RNA". It matches the Rfam family "Bacterial small subunit ribosomal RNA", at positions 509 to 807 of the family's 1533-position model. The record is from RNAcentral.